CUACCACUGACCUGAAUCGAAGAAUAUUGGCAAUGCCUUAAGUAUCACCCAGAACUCCAUGAGGCCAUAACAAGGUUUUACACAAUUCCAAUGCACUGUUAUUUUCAGCUGUGCUUAAAACUAACACUUACAGAGAUAAUUCAUGGCGAUUUCGCAUCUAGCUUCUGAAGUUUUACCUAAACUCUCCAGCUAUAUGCAUAGCAAAGUAAAAAAAACAACAAACCAGAGACAGUCUAACAUACAUUUGAGUAAGAGCGCAUUUUAAUUUUUGUAUAGUUUAAAACAGCCCCCAAAAAGUUAGCUAUAUAAUAUCAAUACAAAGUAAAUGCAUAUUGUUUACAGCCAACUACAUAUAUGCAAGAAUAAUAGCAAACCUCACAUGAACAAGAAAGAAUUUUCAAUCCAUCACUUGUGAGUGUUUAGCUAUGACUCCUGGGGUAUAAAAUAAACUAUGUUCACAUAUGCAGGGAAGGCAGAUGCUUAUAAAUAGAACAAUCAAAACCUUGCAUGACUUUAGUUCUAAAAGAGACAGGUAAUAAAAAGGAAGAAAAGGAGUUGGAAAUUAAUACAUUUACGUAGUUACACUUCAGUGUUCCAUUUCCAGAAUAAAAAAUAGCUUGCAAGAAAGCAAUGACUUGAAAGUGUGUCUCCAAUCUGUACUCUCUGGAAGCAGGGAUUUUGUUUUAAAUGCCAAGUCUGAGGAAUGUUACAUUUGUAAUUAUGACCAGCCAAAACAAAGGCAGUAAAAAAAAAAAAACCCCAACAUUUCUGAAUUGAAAGGAAAUGUGUGGAGUGUUUAUGUAAACAGGGAAUUAGGUAUAUACAAUGCUAAUAGACCAAUGGACAGACUAAUGCUACAACUGUUUAUGAUACAAAGGAAAUUAAAACCUUCAUGAAUUACUAGUGUAAACCUACUUAAGAACAAGUAUGCAGUAUCAAAAAAAAAAAAAAGAUUAGAAAAGAACUGAACUAAACAUCUUGCAGUCAGUUUAAGGUUAGGCAUAAUUUUCUACAACAAAAA
Molecule: long non-coding RNA, 1021 nt
Organism: Gavialis gangeticus (Gharial)
Lineage: Eukaryota; Metazoa; Chordata; Crocodylia; Gavialidae
Exons: 3
Source: RefSeq, a predicted model, not a curated record